GUCGUGAGGCACGGGCUGAAAGAAGCCGGAGGCAAACCCUUGAUCUGACGAACAGAAACCACAUCAGGCCAAAAAGUGGAGGAUAAGCCUGCGUAACAAGGUGAAGUCCAUAACUGCUCGGAUCCACGAUGGUAAAUGUGGCAGAUACAUGAGGGGAAA
Molecule: non-coding RNA, 159 nt
Filed under: uncultured Sutterella sp.
Lineage: Bacteria; Pseudomonadati; Pseudomonadota; Betaproteobacteria; Burkholderiales; Sutterellaceae
Source: RNAcentral